CCUACGGGUGGCAGCAGUGAGGAAUAUUGGUCAAUGGCCGGAAGGCUGAACCAGCCAAGCCGCGUGAGGGAUGACUGCGCAGAGCGUCGCAGACCUCUUUUGCCUGGGGACAAAAGGCCGGACUCGUCCGGUCCUGUGUGUACCCUGAGAAAAAGCAUCGGCUAACUCCGUGCCAGCAGCCGCGGUAAUACGGAGGAUGCGAGCGUUAUCCGGAUUUAUUGGGUUUAAAGGGUGCGAGGGCGGGCCUUUAAGCCGGCGGGGAAAUUGGGGGGCUCAACCCCGCCGAGCCGUGGAAACUGGGAGUCUUGAGUGCAGUGGAGGUGGGCGGAAUGCGUGGUGUAGCGGUGAAAUGCAUAGAUAUCGCGCAGAACUCCGAUUGCGAAGGCAGCGGGCCGUGCUGCAACUGACGCUGAGGCACGAAAGCGCGGGGAUCGAACAGGAUUAGAUACCCUAGUAGUC
RNAcentral lists this ribosomal RNA (459 nucleotides) under uncultured bacterium. RNAcentral describes it as "partial 16S ribosomal RNA". It matches the Rfam family "Bacterial small subunit ribosomal RNA", at positions 338 to 795 of the family's 1533-position model. The record is from RNAcentral.